UUUACUAAUGAUGAUAAAUAAUCACAUUUCAUGAUCUUAAAUGAUUAUUCAUUACAUGCACUACCAACUGAAGUAAU
Rhopalosiphum maidis (corn leaf aphid) is the source of this 77-nucleotide small nucleolar RNA. The record is from RefSeq and is a predicted model, not a curated record. Lineage: Eukaryota; Metazoa; Arthropoda; Insecta; Hemiptera; Aphididae.